This 229-nucleotide ribosomal RNA is filed under the name uncultured bacterium. Its description in RNAcentral is "partial 16S ribosomal RNA". It matches the Rfam family "Bacterial small subunit ribosomal RNA", at positions 568 to 796 of the family's 1533-position model. The record is from RNAcentral.
UACGUAGGCGGAAAAUUAAGUCAGUAGUGAAAUCCCGCAGCUUAACUGUGGAUCUGUUAUUGAUACUGGUUUUCUUGAAUAUAGUUGAGGUAGGCGGAAUGUGUAAUGUAGCGGUGAAAUGCUUAGAUAUUACACAGAACACCGAUUGCGAAGGCAGCUUACUAAGCUAUGAUUGACGCUGAGGUACGAAAGCGUGGGGAGCGAACAGGAUUAGAUACCCUGGUAGUCC